Molecule: unclassified non-coding RNA, 229 nt
Filed under: plant metagenome
Description: partial contains small subunit ribosomal RNA, internal transcribed spacer 1, and 5.8S ribosomal RNA
Source: RNAcentral
UCUCCGUAGGUGAACCUGCGGAGGGAUCAUUACAGAGUUCAUGCCCUACCGGGUAGAUCUCCCACCCUAUGUUAUUAUUACCUUGUUGCUUUGGCGGGCCGUUAGGCUCCGGCCCGACUACCGGCCCCGGCUGGUAAGCGCCCGCCAGAGGACCCAAAACCGUGAAUAUUAGUGUCGUCUGAGUACUAUAUAAUAGUUAAAACUUUCAAUAACGGAUCUCUUGGUUCUG